Long non-coding RNA from Pan paniscus (pygmy chimpanzee), 1277 nucleotides. The record is from Ensembl. Lineage: Eukaryota; Metazoa; Chordata; Mammalia; Primates; Hominidae.
AAUGCAGGGAAAAUAACAUCCAUUUCUAACACAUGAAGCCCACGUAUUUUCUAAAGAAGAAGAGAAAGACAUUAACAUUACACAAGAAAACUAUUUGCUCUUUGCUUUAAAUUUCCAAAUUUGAGGACACCGGAGAUUUCAGACUUCAAAACUACAUACAUCUGUGCUGAGACAUAGACCCUCUAAGGUGCUUAAUUAUUGGCACUUAAAGCUGGUUUCAUGAAACACCUGGUCUGAGUAAGCAAUAUGAUCAGACAGUGUCAGCAGGGCAGACAGAUUUUAAAUGGAAGAUUGUUACUUACCCAAAAGCCAUUUUGAAGCGAAAAACAGCAUUAUCAGCAAACCAGUAAUAAUAACUUAAACAUCCCCAAGUACAUUAUUAACACUUCUAGCCCUCUAAAGAUUAGAUGACUUCUUUAUAAAAGUUUUUAUGUCUCGAGAGAACAUAUUGUUCUCUGCAUUUAUCAUUUUACAAAAAUAUUAUUUUUCACCAAUAGUCUUACUUUUAUUAUUCCCAGUCAUCUUUUAUUUUCGCUUCUGAUAAGUGUUAUUUCCUCUCUACCAGUGCCUGCAGCAGCCUGCACUGCAAUCACUACCCAUUGCUCAGUAUUUGUCCGUUUUCUCAACAGCCCUUUGGAUUGAAACUCUUGCCUGGAGCAUUAAGAACUUGGGGGAGAAAUCACUACUCACUGCUUUGCUCGCAAUUCUCAUUUGGACUAGCGCUUGCAGAAACUGAGCUGAACUUUCCUCUCUGUUAUUGCAUCUGUAAGCUUGUUGCUCCAGACCUCGAGUUUAAACUAGUUCGAAAUCAAUCAACUCACUCAGAAGUAGAAUGAAAGACUUCUCAGAAGAAAGUGAGAACACAGGAAAAUAUAUAUUUUUAAAUUGCCGAUCGUCCCUUACAUCUCAGACAGAAUUUUUCACUGUCUCGCACAGAAUCAGGGCACAUGGUGAAGCAUUUGGAAAGUGGAUGCUGAGGUCAAGCAGCAAGCAUUGGCACAUAAAUUGCAAGUUAUGAAGUUGAUAAAUGCUGAAGUUUCUGCCCUAGGACAACCUUGUAAAAUAAAAUUGUGAAAAGAUGGAACGUUACUAAAAGAAAGUAGCAACAUCCAUUAAUGUCUGUUUCUGUUAUAUAUUUGUAUAUCAUAAUAAUAUUAUUAGUAACUGAAGCUUCCUAACUCAUUCAUUAAUUAGCCUGUUCAUAAACUUGAGCUGUGUAUCCACUCUGUGCCAGGCACUGUGCUUGGGACCAAGAAUUAAAAGAUGCAUAUCUUACU